CGAGCUCACCAAGUAAAAUGAGGGUCUGUGGAAAAAGAAAAAAAUGAAUCCUUUUUUUAAUCCAAGCAUUCUUCAUCAGUGCAGUCUAUAUAUUGCCUUAGACAAUCUCAGGCUUACCCUAUCACUUAAAGAAGGAAACGCUGGGGUCCAGGGGAUGAAGUCACUUCCCCAUGGUCACUGCCAGGCAAGGUGACCCAUGACUCCCCUGUGGACCUGCUGUGCUGGGAUGCUGGAUGCUCUUCCCUCUGAGCAGCUGCAUCCUACUGGGAGCCACAAGUAAGAGAUGACAUCAAGCCUGCUGCUGCUUUGUUCUAAACUGGUGAGUCUGUUCCUUUCUGUAUAAAAGACACCUAGAUAGAAGAAGAAAAGAACCUGCCAUUAGUUCUACUUUUGGAAUCAGGAAAUGGCUCUUUAUCUGGAGUUAAAAAGUGGGAAUCCAGGCAGAAUUCCUGUGGGAAGUAAGGGUUAAUGGAGAUCUGAAGGAUGGGUAAGAGCCUGGUUGAAGUACACAAGGAAUCAUUCUAAGAAGAAACGUCUUAUAUGAAGACUCAGCUCUCUGAAGCACAGAGACCACAAGACAUAUAAGGUACUUGACAGGGUUGGGGCAGGCUGAGGAGGUGAGGCUUGUAAGUUCAUGUUAAAGAAUUUGAAGUGUGUCCUGAGGUCAAGGGGAAGUCAGUGAAGGGUGUGAAGCAAAAAAAGAGACAUGUUUUGGUUUGCUCUUUGAAGAAAUAUUAUUCCGACUACAACAUGGAGAAGGAAUGGAAAAGGGACAAAACCAGAGGAAAGACCAGUUUGACAGCUGUGGCUACAGCCCAGGAAAAGAGGGCAGCACUUCAACUAGGGUAGGAGCAGGAGGAUACAAAAAAAGUAGACAUAUUCAAGAGGUUUGAGAAACCAGAAUGAUGAUGAUAAAUUUGAAGUCGAUGGCAAAGGGCCAGACAUGAUGGCUCAUGCCUGUAGUCCCAGUACUUUGGGAGGCUGAGGUGGGUGAACCACCAGAGAUCAGGAGUUUGAGGCCAGUCUGGCCAACAUAGUAAAGCCCUGAAUAUACAAAAUUAGCCAGGUGUGGUGGCAUGUGCCUGUAAUCCCAGCUACUUGGGAGGCUGAGGCAGGAGAAUCACUUGAACCUGGGGGGCAGAGGUUGCAGUGAGCCAAGAUCACGCCACUUCAUUCCAGCCUGGGCAACAAGAGUGAGACUCCAUCCUAAAAAAAUAGUAGAUGGUAAAGGACAGAAAAUCAAGGAUGAUUGCUAGGUGCCUGGCUAGAGCACCUACAGGAAGGAAGGGGUCAUGUACUGUGUGACACGGACCGAAUGUUGGUGUUUCCCCAAAUUCCCGGUUUGAAGCUCUAGUUCCCAUUGUGAUGGCAUUAGGAGGUGGAACUUUAGAUAAGGUCAUGAGAGCAGAGCCCCCAUGAUGAGAUUACUGUCCUUGUAGGAAGAAGAGUAAAUAGAGCUUGUUCUUUCCACCAUGAGAGGAUAAAGCAAGAAAGUAGCCAUCUCCACAUGAGAAAGAGGGUUCUUACCAGACACUGAAUCUACCAGCACCUUGAUCAUGGACUUUGCAGACUCCAGAACUGUGAGAAUUAAAUGCCUGUUGUUCAAGCCACCCACUUUAUGCUAUUUUGUUAUGCAGCCUGAGCUAAGGCACUGUGGCAGGGAAGAGGAGGUAGAACAAUCCAAUUUCAGAUAGGAGCAGGUGCAACUGGGGGGCUGCCGGAUGUCUCAGUGGUUGAAUAGACAGCAGAGAUCAUAUGAGAAGUCCAGGCUAAAGAUACAGACUUAGGGGCCACAGUCCUCUGAAGGAAUGUUCAGCCACAGGCAUAUAUAAGGUGGCCAGGGUGAUGGGCAAGGGUGAGAAGAGAAGAGGAAGACGCUUGGAGGCAUCAACAUUGAGAGCAGCAGAGACUUAGCUUUGUCCACAGUGAUGUUCACAGUUCCUGUGGUCCAGAGUGGGGAAGAGUCCAGAGGUCAUAUGCUGAGUUAUAGGCAGGUGAUUCUAGUAUGUAAUUCUGCACCUGACAAUAACGUUUUUCGUGGCCUAAAACAGCAGGGCUAGAAGGCGCUGACAUCUAUGAAAGAACCUGCAUUAGAUCAGUGAAGUCUCAUGUCUACAACAUGUAGAUUUAAAAAUUAUCUGUAACUAUAAAUCAUUAUAUUCAUAACAAUUCUCAUGUGAUUCGAGCUAUUAUUCUCCCCCAUCUUAAAGGUGGAAGAAUUUAAGU
RNAcentral lists this long non-coding RNA (2226 nucleotides) under Callithrix jacchus (white-tufted-ear marmoset). Its description in RNAcentral is "lncRNA (ENSCJAG00000084708.1)". The record is from RNAcentral. Lineage: Eukaryota; Metazoa; Chordata; Mammalia; Primates; Cebidae.